CUUGUACCAAACGCACGCGCGGUCUAAGUAGUGGGCAAACUAGCGACUGGCGCGCGCGAUGAGCUCGCGGCAAUAUCAAACGCAGGAUUUCACUCGCGACGUCAGGAGCUUCUUCGGUCUCAUGGGUGUCGCAAGCGUGAUAAUACAAAAGUAAAUAAAUGCCGGAUCAGUAAAAUAUCAUCAGAAUAAUACUUAUUAAAACAUUAGCAACAGUCUUCUUAACAUCAUAUUGAGCAAGAUCGAGGGAAUGCUAAUUAAUAGCCUUUGCAACGGGAAAGACUAAAAAAUAUAUGCGUUGAUCACCGUUGCGGCCGACAGCAAGCUCAUUAUGUGCUAAUUCAAUAACAACAACAAAGCAAUGUCCUUCAUUUAAACUACAAACGAUGUUAAUAUUAUAUUUAAAAGUUUUAUUAAAACGAU
Molecule: long non-coding RNA, 420 nt
Organism: Bombyx mori (domestic silkworm)
Lineage: Eukaryota; Metazoa; Arthropoda; Insecta; Lepidoptera; Bombycidae
Exons: 3
Source: RefSeq, a predicted model, not a curated record